UACACACCGCCCGUCACACCAUGGGAGUUGGCUUUACCUGAAGACGGUGCGCUAACCGCAAGGAGGCAGCCGGCCACGGUAGGGUCAGCGACGUGGGGUG
Molecule: ribosomal RNA, 100 nt
Filed under: uncultured bacterium
Lineage: Bacteria
Description: partial 16S ribosomal RNA
Rfam family: Bacterial small subunit ribosomal RNA
Source: RNAcentral